RNAcentral lists this non-coding RNA (75 nucleotides) under Tractidigestivibacter scatoligenes. RNAcentral describes it as "Olsenella scatoligenes Fluoride sequence". It matches the Rfam family "Fluoride riboswitch aptamer (crcB RNA motif)". Lineage: Bacteria; Bacillati; Actinomycetota; Coriobacteriia; Coriobacteriales; Atopobiaceae. The record is from RNAcentral.
UGCCCGCUGGGGAAUGAGGCCUCCCCGGCGGGCGCGCUCGCCGAACCGCAUGGCGCUGAUGGCUUCUGCGUUGGG